RNAcentral lists this long non-coding RNA (1390 nucleotides) under Struthio camelus australis. Its description in RNAcentral is "lncRNA (ENSSCUG00000000431.1)". The record is from RNAcentral. Lineage: Eukaryota; Metazoa; Chordata; Aves; Struthioniformes; Struthionidae.
GAACGCCAAAGAGAGAAGAAAUGCCUUGAGAAAUGAAAUGGAAAUCGACAGUAUCUAAGAGCAAAACCGUACUCAUUCUGACACUUCAGGAUAAAUACUUCUGUUCUUGCUCACUAACAGCCACUACCUUUUCUUCUUAGGGUAGGUCCUAUUCUGAGCUCUUCGAAGCAGUCCAAAGGCUAAGUACUUUGAUGCAUGCAGGAGCAUGUUGAAGGUUGCACUGCUGCUGUGCCUAGUGGCAAAAUGGGCUGGAGGUCCAGCUGACCUGUGUUAAGCCACCACACCUGCUGUCUUCAGGCUCAUUUUGUUAACUUUCAGGGGUUCUGCAGAUCCUGUGAGAAGCUUUCUGGGCUUCAGUUGCUGGAGCAUAGAACUGCAGUAGGAGCAGGAAGGUAGUGCAAUGGGGAGGAAAGAAAUAAUUUAUUUCCCUCUACAAGAAAAAACUAGCUACCUUUGGCUAAACUAAAAACACACAUGUACACUUGCAUGUGCUUGUCACUGGUAUAAGACAAAAUAUAGGAACUUGGGCUACUAAUAUAGAAAAAGGACUACUGGGCACAAGCAUUGUGAGGAUGGAUUCUCCCCUGAAACCUCUCCAGAUAAGGGGAACAUUUAGGGGUUGAGAGUCUGAUUGAGCCUUGCCAAAUGCAGGAACACUUCAACUAACUGGCUAAACCACCUCCCUCUGGGCAUGACAACUCACUAAUGCUCAGCUGACAGAAGAGCCUUUAGGGUCCAAGACUGGUGACGUAAUUCAAGACACACCUUACACGAUUGUUCUGGGGGACCAGAAUUAGAAAAACUGGUUACCUAAUUUCCGUCCUGAAAGGCCAAUGACAGAGCUGUGAGUUACCCUGGUGACAUGAGGCUUUCCUAAUGCCAGCCCCUCAGGACAGAGGAGACACACGCAGUGUCAGCAUUGCUGCGGCAGGGUCUACCCCAUGCCACUGCCUUGCUGAGACUGGCACAAUGGACUCAGCAGGAGGAAGAGGAAAUUUCUGUCUCUUACCAGCCUCAGCUUGCUUGGCCAGGCAGAGCAUCACUCAGGAAUCAGUGCAAUCUACAAAGCAGUCCAGCUGUCACCUCAGGAUUCGGUCACCAGGGCAUGUUUUGAAAUACGGAAAAAUACACCUUGAGACUAUGUUACAUCUGUCAAAAUCUCAGAUUCUGACUGUUGAGGUAUUUACAUUAGGCUCGCUCAUGACAGCAGUGAGCCUGUCACUACCUUCUCCUCUCUUCUGCAAGGCUGCUAAGGAAAGGCAAACACUCCUUCUCUUAAUAAAGCAAAGACUUCAGAAUUCAGAGCUCCCUGCAAGACUAUUUUCCUGGUGAAUACCAGCCACUGAUUGCUGCACCAGAGCUGCAGUGCUCUAACAGAGGAGUCCUGGAG